This 62-nucleotide transfer RNA is filed under the name Auriculastra duplicata. RNAcentral's name for it is "tRNA-Lys". The record is from RNAcentral. Lineage: Eukaryota; Metazoa; Mollusca; Gastropoda; Ellobiida; Ellobiidae.
UUUUGGUGGCCGAGAUAAGGCCGUAGAUUUUUAAUCUACUUACGGGAAACUCCCUCUUGCGU